AAGGGGGCCACGGGCAAUGCUUCAGUACGGCGAGUGAGCGGCAAAAGCUCAAAUUUGAAAUCUAGCACUUUCAGUGUUCGAGUUGUAAUUUGAAGAAGGUAACUUUGGUUUUGGCUCUUGUCUAUGUUCCUUGGAACAGGACGUCACAGAGGGUGAGAAUCCCGUGCGAUGAGAUGCCCAAUUCCAUGUAAAGUGCUUUCGAAGAGUCGAGUUGUUUGGGAAUGCAGCUCUAAGUGGGUGGUAAAUUCCAUCUAAAGCUAAAUAUUGGCGAGAGACCGAUAGCGAACAAGUACAGUGAUGGAAAGAUGAAAAGAACUUUGAAAAGAGAGUGAAAAAGUACGUGAAAUUGUUGAAAGGGAAGGGCUUGAGAUCAGACUUGGUAUUUUGCGUUCCCUUCCUUUUUGGUUGGGUUCCUCGCAGUUUACUGGGCCAGCAUCGGUUUGGAUGGUAGGAUAAUGACAUUGGAAUGUAGCUUUACUUCGGUGAAGUGUUAUAGACUUUGUUGAUACUGCCUAUCUAGACCGAGGACUGCGUCUUUGACUAGGAUGCUGGCGUAAUGAUCUUAAGCCGCCCGUCUUGAACCACGGGACCAAAAAUAAAAGAUUUAAUUGGGGGUUUUAAAUAGUCCGAAGCUGUUCUGGCUAUUACGGUAUAGAGUAAGGCG
Molecule: ribosomal RNA, 664 nt
Filed under: Dujonia zeylanoides
Lineage: Eukaryota; Fungi; Ascomycota; Pichiomycetes; Serinales; Debaryomycetaceae
Description: LSU rRNA
Rfam family: Eukaryotic large subunit ribosomal RNA (bases 1-587)
Source: RNAcentral